UAUUAUAAAUUUUAUUCAUUUGUACUGUUAAAAAAUGAUGUGGUUGACGAAAUAAUAAGACAAUGGCAUGCAACGUGCCACAUGUAUCUCAUGCUAAUAUACAAAGACUAAUUUUUAAUAGCAGAAAUAGAUGAAAUUUUUAAUU
Gossypium arboreum is the source of this 145-nucleotide non-coding RNA. The record is from Rfam. Lineage: Eukaryota; Viridiplantae; Streptophyta; Magnoliopsida; Malvales; Malvaceae.